UGGCUCAGGACGAACGCUGGCGGCGUGCUUAACACAUGCAAGUCGAACGAUGAAGCCCUUCGGGGUGGAUUAGUGGCGAACGGGUGAGUAACACGUGGGCAAUCUGCCCUGCACUCUGGGACAAGCCCUGGAAACGGGGUCUAAUACCGGAUAACACCCCCUCUCGCAUGGGAGGGGGUUGAAAGCUCCGGCGGUGCAGGAUGAGCCCGCGGCCUAUCAGCUUGUUGGUGAGGUAGAAGCUCACCAAGGCGACGACGGGUAGCCGGCCUGAGAGGGCGACCGGCCACACUGGGACUGAGACACGGCCCAGACUCCUACGGGAGGCAGCAGUGGGGAAUAUUGCACAAUGGGCGAAAGCCUGAUGCAGCGACGCCGCGUGAGGGAUGACGGCCUUCGGGUUGUAAACCU
RNAcentral lists this ribosomal RNA (408 nucleotides) under Streptomyces aureus. RNAcentral's name for it is "bacterial SSU rRNA". It matches the Rfam family "Bacterial small subunit ribosomal RNA", at positions 20 to 432 of the family's 1533-position model. Lineage: Bacteria; Bacillati; Actinomycetota; Actinomycetes; Kitasatosporales; Streptomycetaceae. The record is from RNAcentral.